This 74-nucleotide transfer RNA is filed under the name Candidatus Aenigmatarchaeota archaeon. Its description in RNAcentral is "tRNA-Val". It matches the Rfam family "tRNA". Rfam says of the family: Transfer RNA (tRNA) molecules are approximately 80 nucleotides in length. Lineage: Archaea; Nanobdellati; Candidatus Aenigmatarchaeota. The record is from RNAcentral.
GGGUGAUUAGCUCAGUUGGUUAGAGCGUCGCAUUCACAUUGCGAAGGUCGCAGGUUCGAAUCCUGGCAAGCCCA